UGGCUAACUCCUACGGGAGGCAGCAGUGGGGAAUUUUGGACAAUGGGGGCAAGCCUGAUCCAGCCAUGCCGCGUGAGUGAUGAAGGCCCUAGGGUUGUAAAGCUCUUUUGUGCGGGAAGAUAAUGACGGUACCGCAAGAAUAAGCCCCGGCUAACUUCGUGCCAGCAGCCGCGGUAAUACGAAGGGGGCUAGCGUUGCUCGGAAUCACUGGGCGUAAAGGGUGCGUAGGCGGGUCUUUAAGUCAGGGGUGAAAUCCUGGAGCUCAACUCCAGAACUGCCUUUGAUACUGAGGAUCUUGUGUUCGGGAGAGGUGAGUGGAACUGCGAGUGUAGAGGUGAAAUUCGUAGAUAUUCGCAAGAACGCCAGUGGCGAAGGCGGCUCACUGGCCCGAUACUGACGCUGAGGCACGAAAGCGUGGGGAGCAAACAGGAUUAGAUACCCCAGUAGUCCAGCUGG
This 456-nucleotide ribosomal RNA is filed under the name uncultured bacterium. RNAcentral's name for it is "bacterial SSU rRNA". It matches the Rfam family "Bacterial small subunit ribosomal RNA", at positions 329 to 803 of the family's 1533-position model. The record is from RNAcentral.